RNAcentral lists this ribosomal RNA (254 nucleotides) under uncultured bacterium. RNAcentral's name for it is "partial 16S ribosomal RNA". It matches the Rfam family "Bacterial small subunit ribosomal RNA", at positions 524 to 776 of the family's 1533-position model. The record is from RNAcentral.
CACGUAGGGUGCGAGCGUUGUCCGGAAUUAUUGGGCGUAAAGAGCUCGUAGGCGGUGUGUCGCGUCGGCCGUGCAAACCUGGGGCUUAACUCUGGGCUUGCGGUCGAUACGGGCAUCACUGGAGUUCGGCAGGGGAGACUGGAAUUCCUGGUGUAGCGGUGAAAUGCGCAGAUAUCAGGAGGAACACCGGUGGCGAGGGCGGGUCUCUGGGCCGAUACUGACGCUGAGGAGCGAAAGCGUGGGGAGCGAACAGG